UUUUGAUUAGAUGAAAACCAAGAUUAUAUACUCGAUAAAAAGGUAUGACGAAUAUUGAACAAGCUGAGUUACUCCAAUAAAUUCUCACUGAGAGUAACGCAUUUGGAAGCAGAACAUGCGAAUGUGGCUUGGAGUAAUUUUUAUUUCCCAGAUAGUCGUUUAUUUUGUUUAGAUGUUGUUGUAGAUAUGUUGCUCUACAUAAGAGUUUGUAUGGUUUGCUAAUAUUGCUUCUUAAAUGAUGUCGUUAUAUUUCUACUUGUCGGGAGACCAGAAGUAAACACAAUUUGCUCAGGGUAGGAAGAAAUUAGAUAAGUCUGUAAGUAAUGUUAUUAGAAAAUAUUCUAGGUUUAGGGAUAAGGGUAAUUUAGGAAUUAUUUUCCAUUCUAACAAGACUAUAACUUUCCUAAGAAGUUCUUUGAUAGUUUUUCUGUGUUAUAACUUGGGGCUUUAUUAGGAUGUCUAAUCAUUGCCUUUGCUUCUUCUACUGUGAAUGAAGAAAUUUGUGCAGAAUGUAUUAAAGCAACGUGUUUUGGAGUAAAAAGUGUAUGUAUCUUGAAGAACUCUCUCUUUCAUUGUUAAUAACUGGUAAAUUUCCAUGUAGCUGCUGCUUUGUAGAUCAUUACCUAAUUUUUUAUAGAUAAUCGGGAUUUUCUAUCUUAUCAGCUGAUAUAAAUCUCUUUCAAACCCAAUUAUGUUUUCUCCAGGUCCAAUGCUUAUCUAGAUAUUUGACAUCUUUCAUUGUCAUAUAAUUUGAUUAGAAUUUGUUUAGAGAGACUUCUGGACAUUUGCCUUAACAGUUGGUGAAAGUUACCUUCAUCUCUUUUGCUUUAAUUUGUCAUUUCUUUAACCAGUUUUACACCUUAUUGAGGUGAGUUUUGGAACCAUUGAUAUUCAUACUAAACACACUGUUUACACUACACAAACAUUCACAAUUACACUGUCUGAUGCACGUUUCUAAACUUCACCUUCAGUCUCUGAAGAAGAUAACUUCGUAAUAGUAUAAUUGUGUGUUGGUGUAGUGGUAGUGUAAACAGUGUAUUCAAAGCUGUAGUGUACUUAAUGCUACAGCAGGAUUAAAUUGUUAAGAGUGAAAAAAUUACAAAUUGUUUAAUAAAUGCGGCUUUUUAUUUUAUAUACAAAAAUACAAUUUUAAAUUCUAAAUAAACUGACUCAACAAAUAUAUAUUUACAGUGGUAUUACACUAAAUAGACACAUAUGUGGUAAAAUACUUAAUAAGUAAAAAGAUUGGAGACUUUUCGAGAAAAAUUUUACAACUUACAAAAUUUGGUAGACUCUAUUUUUUUGUAUAUAGAGAGUGCAAAAACUCUAGUUUCAAAUGUAAAUUAUAUAUCCUAGAUGUUAUUUUAUGUUCCUCUAAAUUAAUUUACUUUUAUUCAAAAGUUUUUUCCGUUGAUGUAUUGAAAAGAACAUACAUCGGAUUCUAUUUGUUGACAAAUUUCAGAAUAAAUUUGAAAACUAUAAGGAAAGGACAACUUUUUUAGGAAAAUACUUUUUAUAGCUUUUUAAUUUAAAGAAAAUUUGAUGUUCGAUUCAAUUUUUUGAGCAUAUUUCCUGUAAAUUUUGAAAUUAUGAAUAAAUUUCUUACAACAGAAUAAAACGGACUAUAGUUAACAAUUUGUCAUUGCAGGCUCAUACAAUGUACAAAAUUUGCAUGUAGUGAUUUUGAUAUCCUUAAAGAACCGCUAUCUUAAGAGAAAUUUUUGUAUAAAAGUAAAUGAGCUUAAAAAGAUUUAAAAUCAUAUGUAGUUUGCUUUUAGCUUAAGGGUUUUUGAACACACUAUAUAUUUGAAAUAAUUUUAACAAUAGUAAAAGAUUCAUAUAAAAUAAAAAAUUGAUUAUGUGAAUAUUUGAAUACAUCAUUACAGUAUACGUUGUUGUAAAAUUAUUCAGUACUGGAUUGUGUGACUAUGCUAGAAAUUUAAUUAUUUUGUUCUUAUAAUAAAAAAAUAUGACGAUAUAACAGGGCUGAAAAUAUUUAAACAACGAAAUUUUGUGUUUCUAUUAAUCAAAAAAGUUUUAAAACAAAGCAUGAAUAAUGGAAUUGAGUUUGACACCGUAAUAUCAUCACACCAACACUAACAAUUAUAAUAUCUGAUUAUUUGAGGCUCAAACCAAAUAAACCAGCAACUAAUGGAGGGUCAAAGAACCAGAUAGUGUAAUUGUAGCAAACAGUGUGUUCACUACUCAAAAAAUCAAACAUUUCAGUUAGAAUUCAAGAAGGACUAGAAUUAGGCUCUAACUGGAUACAAACUAACAACUAUUAAGACUUUGAAGAACUAGAAAAUGCAUAUGUGAGGGUAGUUGUAGAAAACGUGUGUUCAGUACCCAAAAAUCAAAAGUUACGAUUAAAAUUCAAGAAGGACUAGAAUGAUGCUCAAACUGAAUAUAAACUAGCAAUUAAUGGAAGUUUGAAGAACUACUAAGUGAAUAUGUGAGUGUAGUUGUAGCAAAAAGUGUGUUCAGUACUCAAGAAAUCAAAUGUUAUGGUUAGAAUUCAAGAAGGACUAGAAUGAGGCUCAAACUGGAUAUAAAUUAGCAAUUAAUGGAAGUUUGAAAAACUUGAAAGUGUAUAUGUGAGUGUAGUUGUAACAAACUGUGUGUACAGUACCCAGAAAACCAAAUGUUAGGGUUAGAAUUCAAGAUGAGAAACUAGGGAUUCAAUUUGAGACGAGGAAAUUCUAGGUUGAUAUAAAAUUAGUUUGUUGAGGGCUAAAGAAGAGUUAUAUGUAUGGAUAUGAACAAAAUAUAUGAAUAUUCAUAAAAUUAGUUGAUUUUUGAUGAAAGACCAAUUAUUUUGAAUUUUUGUGUAGAAUAAAAACACAAAACUCAAUAUUAUUCCUUAAAAAUAUGGGUUUUUUAUUGAAAAAAAAUAUCACUGUCAUUAUACUGUUUUGCCACACAAAGCCAUGUCCAACUCGCCCAAGAUUGUUCGAAUAAGUACAUAAAACAGGUAUUUUUUUCAUAUCCUAAUAAAAAAUCUUUAUUUUCAAAUAAUUUUUCCAGAUUUAAAAUUAUUGUGAAUAUUUAUAUGCAUCAAGUGGAUUUUCUUACAAUGUAUCCUGAUUUGGAGUUACCCUAUUUCAAUAAAAAAAAAAUUGACAGAAAAUAAUAACGGAAAAAUAUGUGCAAGGAAUAUUGAAUGCUAUGUGGAAUUUAGUACAGGCUAAAAAUGAUUAUUGCUGAAAAUUAAAGUUUGGAAUUGAGGCACUAAUGGUUGUUCCACAACUAAAAUGUACCUUUAUUAAUUCUGAUCUCAAAAAAUUAUUACAUUUGUUUUUUAUUCAGAAAAAAAUGCUGCAAAAUCAUGUUUUAUUAUUAAAAUGGUGAAAAUCAUUAAAAACUUUGGUAUUUGAGAUUUUAAAAUACAGAUUUUGAUUCACACUGUAUUUACAGGACUUUUAAAAGCAUUUUAAUGAUCGUUUUGACCCAAUAGAAAGUUUUAAUAACAAAAACUUUUGUUUUUGACAUUACAACUGUCCUAGAUAAAAAAUUCAAUAUAUAGUGUGUAUUAAAAAGUAGGAAUUUUUAAAUAAUAAUCGAAAUGGAAGAUUAUAAAGUUAAAAAAUUAGUUUCUAACGAUUAAAAUCCCACAAUUUUAAUUCACACUAUAUUUCCAGGACUUUUUGAAGCAUUUAAAUGAUUCAUUUGACCCAAUAGAAAGUUUGGAUAACAAAAAAUUCUGUUUUCGAAAAAUAUAACUGUCCUAGAUAAAAUAUUCAAUAUAUGUAUUAAAAAGUGGGAAUUUUUAAAUUGUGGAAAAAAAUCCCGAUAUUUUGUAAUAUAAGAAAACCAUAGUUUAUUUUAUAAAUAAAAUUAAAAAGUUUAAUAAAUAAAACGACUUAAAACCAGUAUUCGGAAACAUACAUACACUAAAAAAAAAGUAGAAACUGCAUUUUUGGAUUGUUUUAAAAAUAUAAACAGUCAGAAGUGGUAGAAGAAAUUUAAUUACUGGAUAAUGGCAAAAGACGUAACUUUGUGUCGAUAAAAAUAAAAAUCAUUAAUAUAUAUAUAUAUAUACAUACACUACACCUCAUAGUUGAUUAAUUUAACUAAAUUAAUAUUUAAAAUACCUCCAAAAAUAUAAAUUCCCUUAUACUACCACGUCCAAACCAUUUUAUUUUCCUAAAUCGCAUUUUUUAUAAAUAGAAACAAAAAUUAUUUAAAAAAUAAAAUUCGAUCUAAUCUACUCGAUUUUUUUGCUAUUAUGUUUUGCUAUAGAUUGUGUUACGAAACCUUUCGUGCUACCAUUCGAAUAGCAAGCUUCAUAAGAAUCCGUAAACUCCCCUUUGAUGUAAGUAUUGUUAAGAGUGCCGUUGCUGUUGGAUUUUUUGAUACCGUUGGAAUUUUCGUCGUCCAAAAUAGGC
Molecule: long non-coding RNA, 4385 nt
Organism: Diorhabda carinulata
Lineage: Eukaryota; Metazoa; Arthropoda; Insecta; Coleoptera; Chrysomelidae
Exons: 2
Source: RefSeq, a predicted model, not a curated record